AACGCGAAGAACCUUACCAGCCCUUGACAUGCCCAGGACCGGUCGCAGAGAUGUGACCUUCCCUUCGGAGCCUGGAACACAGGUGCUGCAUGGCUGUCGUCAGCUCGUGUCGUGAGAUGUUGGGUUAAGUCCCGCAACGAGCGCAACCCCCGUCCUUAGUUGCUACCAUUUAGUUGAGCACUCUAAGGAGACUGCCGGUGAUAAGCCGCGAGGAAGGUGGGGAUGACGUCAAGUCCUCAUGGCCCUUACGGGCUGGGCUACACACGUGCUACAAUGGCGGUGACAAUGGGAUGCUAAGGGGCGACCCUUCGCAAAUCUCAAAAAGCCGUCUCAGUUCGGAUUGGGCUCUGCAACUCGAGCCCAUGAAGUUGGAAUCGCUAGUAAUCGUGGAUCAGCACGCCACGGUGAAUACGUUCCCGGGCCUUGUACACACCG
This 435-nucleotide ribosomal RNA is filed under the name uncultured Bradyrhizobium sp. RNAcentral's name for it is "bacterial SSU rRNA". It matches the Rfam family "Bacterial small subunit ribosomal RNA", at positions 958 to 1392 of the family's 1533-position model. The record is from RNAcentral. Lineage: Bacteria; Pseudomonadati; Pseudomonadota; Alphaproteobacteria; Hyphomicrobiales; Nitrobacteraceae.